AAAGUUGUAGCGCGGAUCUUCGAUAAGACGAAUAGUCGAAAAUCUGUUUCUCAUUUACCUAUCUAUCCAAGUUAUGAACAAAGAAGAUGAGUUUGGAACACAUAUCGAACGACAAAUCUCUCGAGCUAGUUUGACCAUUGACCGCAAACUGAAGUGAGUAAACCUUACCAAUCUGUGAAAAAUUUAGAUACAAAUUUCACUUAUUUGUUACCCUAAAAGUGUUAAGUACUUGUACAUACAAA
RNAcentral lists this long non-coding RNA (242 nucleotides) under Capsella rubella. RNAcentral describes it as "long non-coding RNA (CRUB_LNC000981)". The record is from RNAcentral. Lineage: Eukaryota; Viridiplantae; Streptophyta; Magnoliopsida; Brassicales; Brassicaceae.